This 693-nucleotide small RNA is filed under the name Malus domestica (apple). Its description in RNAcentral is "sRNA MD07G0204100". The stretch from base 240 to 338 matches the Rfam family "Small nucleolar RNA R30/Z108". The record is from RNAcentral. Lineage: Eukaryota; Viridiplantae; Streptophyta; Magnoliopsida; Rosales; Rosaceae.
GAUUGGCGGUGAUGACCCAAUGAAAUUCAAGCUCAACAGACCGGAUUGUAGGCUUCUCUUUUCAGAGAAUGUUUGCGUGUCGACAACCCCGCUGAACUGAGCCUUCUCUUUCUCUUCUUUUCUUCUCAAUUUUAAUAUUUAUUUCUCCAAAAACAAUUUAUGAUUUGGUUUUUUUUUAAAUUUGUUUUUAAUUAUUUUGUUUAGUUUUAUAAAAUUUCGGUGGGAAAUUAAAGAAAAGGUGGGAUUGCUAUGAGGAUACCAAGCUCCCUCUUCUGAGUAAGGUUGAGGAAACUUGCCGGCAGAAUCGAACCUAAUAUUUAUUAGCCACCACUGAGUAUUUCUCCCCUUUUUUCCCACUUUAAUUUUUUUUUUUAAAUAUUUUUUUUUUAAAUUUCGAUCUUUUUAUUAUGUUUUAAUUGUGAAUUUAGUUGUGGGAAUGAUGGAUUGGGAUGAAGAAAUCAAAUUAUCCAACACUUGAUCUGAGAUAUUUGUUAUCGAGUGAUGUUAAUUGAUAUACUUCUGAAUCUGAAUUAAAUAUUAAUUAAGAUUUAUUGUAUGUUAUAUUUGUGAUUGUUCUGAUGGUUUGAAAAUAAAAAUUGUUCAGGUGAUGAAAAAUGGAAUAAUCUUAGGACACCUUCCUACACAGCGAAAAUCUUGCUGUGGAUGAGAACAACUUUCCAUUCUGAUGAUGAU